RNAcentral lists this long non-coding RNA (4825 nucleotides) under Callithrix jacchus (white-tufted-ear marmoset). Its description in RNAcentral is "lncRNA (ENSCJAG00000081092.1)". Lineage: Eukaryota; Metazoa; Chordata; Mammalia; Primates; Cebidae. The record is from RNAcentral.
CCAAGCUGCUACCAGAGGGCGUGCCACCACUUCUCUGUGAGCAAGAGGGCCCUACAGUGUCCCCAGCUGUCAGCAGGGAGUGUGCUGCCAAUACACUCUGAGCAACAGCACCCUAAGUGCCCCCAGCAGCCAGCAGGGGGCAUGUCACCACCACACUGUGAGCAAGAGGGCCCGGCAGUGUCCCUAGCUGCCAGCAGGGGGCACAGGGCACCAAUCCCGGGAGUAUGAGGACCCUGCAAUGGUGUGGUUGCCAGCAUCGGGUGUGCUGCCAGAACACUGUGAGCAAGAGGGCCUUGCAGUGCCCUCAGUGGCAAGCAGGGAGAGUGCCGCCCCUACACCUCGAGCAAGAGAGCCUGUCAGCACAGGCAUCACAUCAUAAGAGGACUCUACAUUGCCUUGCUUGCCAGCAGGGGGUGUGGUGUCACGACAUUGUUUGCAAGAGGGCCAUGUAGUGCCCUGGAUGCCAGCAGGGGAUGCAGGUCACCACACUAUAAGAGGGCACUGCAAUGGCCCGAUUCGCCAGCAGGGGGCGCGAGCACAGCACCAUGAGCAGGAGGGCCCUGCAGCGCCCGGUCUUUUCAGAUUCCUGAGAUUCUGUCUUCCGUGCGUCCCGGGUCUGUGGAGUUGCGUCCUCUUCAGUGCAUACCUCGGGCGGGGGCCUCUGCGAGUGUGGAGCUGCGUCUUCUUCAGCACAGACCCGGGGGUGUCGUUCGGGGGGCACCGCGAUGGCGAAGCUGCGUUUUCCUUAGCACCGACCCUGCUAGCAUUGUGCAGUCAGAGCAGCGUUGUUAGCGGAGUCCUCGGGGACACCACUCGCUUUGUGACGACUCCAGGCCGUGUCCACGAAACACAUGGGCUAGUAGGCUUCGUGUUCUUUUGCAUUUCCAGAACGAUGUCGCUGAACACUUCGUCUUCUUACUUUAAGUGGUGCAGUGGGACAGCCACCAGGGGGUGCGUUUCCAUCGUCCGCACCGUGAGCAGCAAGUGCCUGCAGUGCCCCCAGCCGCCAGCAGAGGGCGCGCCAGCCAAGCUUUUCUAAUUCCAAGGCCCCAGCCUCCUGCCCAUUUCCUCUGCGCAGGCUCCUGCAAGGGCAGGACCGGGGUUCUCCUCACCACAGACCAGGGGUUGCCCCUCACUUUGGGACACCUCGAGGCUGCAUCCAAGGUGAGUAAAAUCUUUUCUGUUUGCCGCCCUGACUGCUGAGGGGCAGAGAUCCUUCGUGUGGAAAAUGAGAAACCAAAAACCCCGGUGAACCCAGCGCAGCCGAGGUUCUUUCCCUAUACCCAAGGCGAGAAGGCUUCGGGGCCACGCUGCAGGCUGGGAAGAGAAAUGCAGCGUCAGGAGAGCAACUACAACACCCCCCACACUGAUAAUAACCCCCUGUAAUACCAGUAUUGCUCCGUCUGUGGUGCUGGUGUUAGCACCCGUUGUACAGACGUCACACCCGUUAUGGGAAGGUGGCAGUCGCUGUGCAGGUCUGAUCCCGGGACACGGAUGUAUCUCUUACAGCGCCCAGAACGCCCGGAACUUCUGUGAGUGGGCACAUAACACCCAGAACGCCCGGAACUUCUGUGAGUGGGCACAUAACACCCAGAACGCCCGGAACUUCUGUGAGUGGGCACAUAACACCCAGAACGCCCGGAACUUCUGUGAGUGGGCACAUAACACCCAGAACGCCCGGAACUUCUGUGAGUGGGCACAUAACACCCAGAACGCCCGGAACUUCUGUGAGUGGGCACAUAACACCCAGAACGCCCGGAACUUCUGUGAGUGGGCACAUAACACCCAGAACGCCCGGAACUUCUGUGAGUGGGCACAUAACACCCAGAACGCCCGGAACUUCUGUGAGUGGGCACAUAACACCCAGAACGCCCGGAACUUCUGUGAGUGGGCACAUAACACCCAGAACGCCUGUGACACAGUUAGACUAAGGCAGCACCCGGCACAUUCAUAUACCCCCUAGAACAUGCAUGUGUUCUUCAGAGCACACACGUAGUACCCAGAAAGCCGUGAUGUCAGACUCAGUGUGCACAUAUCACCUUGAAUGAAGUGAGACCAGCUAUUCCAACACCUGUAACACUCAUAUAAUCCCCCGGAACAUGCAUGUGUCCCUGAGAGCACGCACGUAUACCCAGAAUGCCGGUGACACUGUCAGAGCGCACAUAUCACCUGGAAUGUAAAAAUGAUACUGUCAGAUUUACCCAACAUAUGUCACACCCGUAUAACCCCUGGACCAUGCAUUUGUCUUUCAGAACACACACAUAUCACCCGGAACAACUGUGACACCAUCAGACUCAGAGCUCUUUUAUAACUUGGAGCACACAGGUGACGUUUUCAGACUAACCCAACACCCGUCACACUCAUAUAAUCCCUGGAACACGUGUAUGUCCCUCAGAACACGUAAUGGCGAGAACUACUAUAACACCAUAAGACUAAUGCAACCCCUGUCACACAACCCCUAGAACACGCAUGUGUCCCUCAGGGAGCACAUAUCACCCAGAACUCCCCUAACACUGUCAGACUAACGCAACAACCAUCACACGUAUAUAACCCCUGGAAUACGCAUGUGUCCCUUGUAACACAAAUAUCACUUGGGAUGUGGACGUGGCCUUUGGAGCAUCUGCAGCACCAAGGAUGGGACCCUUCUCUUGCUGAGGUGCUGGGUUCAUAGCCUAUGCUGGGCUGGGUUUGGGCUGGAUUUGGCGUCUGUUACGAAGUAUGAUAUUGUUGUUUUUGCCUUUCUUAUGUGGUAUUGAUAGGGUCGUUUAAAAAGUAGUUGACUUCCCAGUAAUGUCAUCCUUCUGGGAAACUUGGACUUGCAGUUAGUAUGCCUUUUCCUUUCGCUCCGAUUCCCCAGCAGUUAUUGCCAUGCAAGAUGUGCAGCUUAACAGAAAACACCCCAGUGUAUUUCACCAAAAGUAGAAACACUCCUCCAGGUGACCUCUACGUAACCUUCAAAUCAGAAAAUACACGGCUCCUCUUUCAUUUCCUUUUUUUUUUGGAGAUGGAGUGCUGAUCUGUUGCCAGGCUGGAUUGUAGUGGUGUGAUGUCAGCUCACUGCAGUCUCCACCUCCUGGGUUCAAGGGAUUCUCCCAUCUCAGCCUCCUGAGUAGUGGGAUUUCAGGCACCACCAUGCACAGCUAAUUUUUUCUAUUUUUGGUGGAGACAGGGUUUCUCCAUGUUGACCAGGAUGGUCUUGAUCUUUUGAUCUUGUGACCCGCCUCGGCCUCCCACAGUGCUAGAAUUACAGGCAUGAGCACUGUGCCCAGCUGAAAAUGCAUGAUUUCUGUGUGAAAGUCCAGUCCACAGACCUACUUCACUGCCCAUCCCAUUUGGCAGAAAAAUGUCUCUUUUCAUGUGGGUCCAGUUUUACUUUUUGGGAAUUGUUCCUUACACUCUCAUUUUUAUUUAGAUGGAGUUUUGCUCUUUUUGCACAGGCUGGAGCGCAGUGGCACAAUGUCUGCUCACUGCAGCCUCCGCCUCUCAGGUUCAAGAGAUUCUCCUACCUCAGCCUCCCAAGUAGCUGGAAUCAUAGGCAUCCACCACCACGCCUGGCUAAUUUUUUGUAUUUUUAGUAGAGACGGGAUUUUACCAUGUGGGCCAGGCCGGUCUCAAACUCCUGACCUCAGGUGGUCCACCCACCUCGGCUUCCCAGAGUGCUGGGCAUAAUUACACCAUGCUCUCUCAGUUUUCACAGCCUUGACAGAUAUAAAGAGCAGAGAUGACUCCACACUGGGUCUACCCAGCCUUUCAUCCUGAACAGAUGCAGACCCCGCAUUUCCAGUAGGAAUACCCUGGACUGGUGCCACAUUCUCCUCAGUGCAGCCCACCUGGAGGACCUUUCAUCCAUCCCACCACCACUGGCGAUCUCACUUGAUAAUGGCAGAAUACUUAUUUACAAUCACAAAUUUCAUCCUGUCAAGUUCUGUAUUUACCUUUGCCAGUGGUUUCUCAAUGGCCUUAGAACCAUGGCCUCCAGACCCUGAGUGCUCCUGCCAGCUGCUCUCUCCCAUCUAGUCUGCUACACCUGCCUGCAGUCCCACUCAGGGGGACAUGGGCUCCUGGGUGUCUCGGUGGGGAUUUUAUGUGUGUGCUGCCAGCCCAUUCACCCAGUGACUACCUUAGGUUUGUUAAGGCUUUGUCUAGAUGAGUUCUUAAAGCCAUAGCAGUUAUGUAAUCUAAAAGUAGAAGAGUUAAUAAUGUGAUUUUUUUCUAAAGUCAAGGAAAUAAUCUAUUAUUUACUAUAUCAUCUGAGAUGACCAUCAGUUUUUUUUUUUUUUUUUUUUUUUUUUUGGAGAUGGCAUCUCCCUGUGUUGCUGAGGCUGGAGUGCACUGGCACAAUCUCUGCUCACCAUAGCCUCCACCUCCUGAGUUCAAUUAAUUUUCAUGCCUCAGUCUCCUGAGUAGCUGGGACUAUAGGCACCUGCUGCCACACCCAGCUAAUUUUUGUAUUUUUGGUAGAGGUGGGGUUUCACUAUGUUGGCUAUGUUUGUCUCAGACUCCUGACCACAUGAUCCACUUCUCUUGACCUCUGAAUGUGCUAGGAUUACAGGCGGUAGCUAGCAGGCCCAGCCUAUUUUUAACUUUUUGAGGGAAUAGCAAACUAUCUUAAAAGUAAGCUGCACCAUUUUGUGUUCCACAUACAGUACUUAAAGGUUGUGAUUUUGCUCUGACCUUGCUGACACUUAUUUUAUAUUUCUUAAAUCAUAGCCUUUCUAGUGUGUGAAGGAGUGUGUCAUUGUGAUUUCAGUUUAGAUGGCCAUAAUGAUAAUGCUAUUGAUCAUCUUUUUAUGUGUUUGUUUUCCAUCUGUAUGUUUUAUUGGCG